RNAcentral lists this ribosomal RNA (1325 nucleotides) under Staphylococcus aureus. RNAcentral's name for it is "partial 23S ribosomal RNA". It matches the Rfam family "Bacterial large subunit ribosomal RNA", at positions 1517 to 2841 of the family's 2925-position model. The record is from RNAcentral. Lineage: Bacteria; Bacillati; Bacillota; Bacilli; Caryophanales; Staphylococcaceae.
CAGUAAGGCUGAGUAUUAGGCAAAUCCGGUACUCGUUAAGGCUGAGCUGUGAUGGGGAGAAGACAUUGUGUCUUCGAGUCGUUGAUUUCACACUGCCGAGAAAAGCCUCUAGAUAGAAAAUAGGUGCCCGUACCGCAAACCGACACAGGUAGUCAAGAUGAGAAUUCUAAGGUGAGCGAGCGAACUCUCGUUAAGGAACUCGGCAAAAUGACCCCGUAACUUCGGGAGAAGGGGUGCUCUUUAGGGUUAACGCCCAGAAGAGCCGCAGUGAAUAGGCCCAAGCGACUGUUUAUCAAAAACACAGGUCUCUGCUAAACCGUAAGGUGAUGUAUAGGGGCUGACGCCUGCCCGGUGCUGGAAGGUUAAGAGGAGUGGUUAGCUUCUGCGAAGCUACGAAUCGAAGCCCCAGUAAACGGCGGCCGUAACUAUAACGGUCCUAAGGUAGCGAAAUUCCUUGUCGGGUAAGUUCCGACCCGCACGAAAGGCGUAACGAUUUGGGCACUGUCUCAACGAGAGACUCGGUGAAAUCAUAGUACCUGUGAAGAUGCAGGUUACCCGCGACAGGACGGAAAGACCCCGUGGAGCUUUACUGUAGCCUGAUAUUGAAAUUCGGCACAGCUUGUACAGGAUAGGUAGGAGCCUUUGAAACGUGAGCGCUAGCUUACGUGGAGGCGCUGGUGGGAUACUACCCUAGCUGUGUUGGCUUUCUAACCCGCACCACUUAUCGUGGUGGGAGACAGUGUCAGGCGGGCAGUUUGACUGGGGCGGUCGCCUCCUAAAAGGUAACGGAGGCGCUCAAAGGUUCCCUCAGAAUGGUUGGAAAUCAUUCAUAGAGUGUAAAGGCAUAAGGGAGCUUGACUGCGAGACCUACAAGUCGAGCAGGGUCGAAAGACGGACUUAGUGAUCCGGUGGUUCCGCAUGGAAGGGCCAUCGCUCAACGGAUAAAAGCUACCCCGGGGAUAACAGGCUUAUCUCCCCCAAGAGUUCACAUCGACGGGGAGGUUUGGCACCUCGAUGUCGGCUCAUCGCAUCCUGGGGCUGUAGUCGGUCCCAAGGGUUGGGCUGUUCGCCCAUUAAAGCGGUACGCGAGCUGGGUUCAGAACGUCGUGAGACAGUUCGGUCCCUAUCCGUCGUGGGCGUAGGAAAUUUGAGAGGAGCUGUCCUUAGUACGAGAGGACCGGGAUGGACAUACCUCUGGUGUACCAGUUGUCGUGCCAACGGCAUAGCUGGGUAGCUAUGUGUGGACGGGAUAAGUGCUGAAAGCAUCUAAGCAUGAAGCCCCCCUCAAGAUGAGAUUUCCCAACUUCGGUUAUAAGAUCCCUCAA